RNAcentral lists this long non-coding RNA (806 nucleotides) under Gopherus evgoodei (Goodes thornscrub tortoise). Its description in RNAcentral is "lncRNA (ENSGEVG00005016159.1)". The record is from RNAcentral. Lineage: Eukaryota; Metazoa; Chordata; Testudines; Testudinidae.
GAUUUCAUCGUGGAGCCCACUUUCUCGGUGCUGACGGACGUGGCGGAGAAGAUCGUCCUCCCGCUGGUGGAGGAAGGCUCCAAGUCUAAGUCCUCCUCCAGCCAGCAGAGCAGUUCCCAGUGGAAGCAGCCAUCCCUAGAUGAGCAUUCAGAGCUGGGCGACAUCAACGCUGACAUCACCAGCUUCCGCUCCACAUGGACCAAGUACAUCCAGGAGAACAAGCAGAAGUGGAAGGACCGAGCUGCCAGCGGGAUCACUAACCAGACAUCCAUUGAUGAGCUGUCACCGUGCGAGGAGGAGCCACAUGUGCCCGAAAACCAGCACAAUCAGAACGGCGAUGUGGAAUAGCACAGUCUGCGAGGGAGAGAGGUCCCUUUUCCAACUGAAUGAUGCAGUUUAGUCCAAAGUCUUCGAUGCCAUCGAAAUCAGCACCAUUGCAGGAGGAGCCUCCCCCAGGCCGGAGAGCGAGUGGGAACAACCAUUGCCAAGAUAUAAAAAUUAAUGUAAAACUUAGAGUCAAGGGAAAUUCUGAUGUCACUGAGCACAUGGCCUGAACCCAUCAAAGUCCUUCUUCACCGCCGCCACCCCGGAACCCUGGCCUGGCCAGGCCAGUCACCCGCCCCACCAAGCAGGUACUACAGGCCCCUGUUCCAUCUGCCUCCCUGCUCCACCAGUCCAACUGGGACUAUAAGAGACGUCUCACUGCCCAGCCAGCAAACGCCCGGGGCUGUGGGGCCAGGGCUCUGGCUGUGUCUUUUUAAAUGAUUUGUUCUCUGGAAUCCCAAUGUGUCAGACACUGAGAUGAG